UAGCUAUAUUUAGAGACACGCGCAACAUUACCAUAUAUGGUAUAAUGACUUUGUUAUUGUGAGAAGGUUAAGAGACAAUAGACAAGGUUAAGAGACAAUAGACAAGGUUAAGAGACAAUAGACAAGGUUAAGAGACAAUUGACAGGGUUUGAGACAAGUGAAUUCAUAUAUUUCGUAUUGUUUUUUGUGUAUAAUAAAUAUUUAGAGUGAGGAUUUAUAUACGAGGACAACUUCGGUAUAUAGUGGUGCCGUGACCAGGAUGUAAACAAGGGAAACAAGUGAUAUUUUACGGGGAAUUUCAACAAAUUUACAACUAUAUUUACGACGAUAAGCGAGAGUUAAAAUGAGCGACACAGAAGCACAAGCGAGCGAGCAACAAAUUGAGAAUAAAAUCAACAAGGAAAUAGAAAAGUUAAAGUAUUAUUUGGAACAAACCGACGAGCUUAUCGAAGAGCAAGAUCUUAGGGAAAUCGAAACAGUAAACAAGCGUACAAAGGCGAUUUUGGAUCAAAUAUAUAGCCUUGUUUCGACCGCUCAAGAGACGAAAGUUGAGCUGGGAAAAAGUACAUCACGGGAAAUUCGACAAUGGAAGAAAGAGGUAAGAGAUAGAUAUAUGCCAUGGGUAAAUGAAAUGAACAAACUGUCUGAUUUUCUGGCUAAACGACAAGCAAAUAUUGCCGCUGAAGAGGAAAAUAAGCGACGAGACGCGAAACGUAUCGAAGAAGAGCAUAACAGGGAAGUAAUUCGAGACCAAGAGAGGCAAAUGCUCGAAGAAAAAUUACAAGCAGAGCUUAGAAUGACGGAGAAAAAGCUAGAAAUGGAAAAAGCUGCAAGAUCAACUCUAACUAAACUUCCUAAAUUGAAAAUAACACAAUUUAAUGGAACAACAGCAGACUGGGUAAGGUUUGAGAACAUGUUUAUUACACAGGUCGAUUCUAAGCCAAUUAGUGAUGAGGAAAAGUUUGGCUAUUUACUUGAAAUGGUGAGUGGAAAAGUCAGGGAUAAGAUCUCAAACCUCAAACCGAGCUCGAUUGGAUAUAAAACGGCUUGGGAACGACUCAAAAAGGAAUACGGUCAAACAAAGUUGCUUGUGAAUGCACAUAUUGAUGAAGUAGUAAAUUUACCCACAGUACGAGGGUCCUCCUAUGAAAAGAUCUUGGCUUUCUACGAACAUUUGAGCAAGAACUAUGACGCCCUACAGACUCUCGGUGAACAUGAGAAAUUAGAUGGAUUUGUGAUGUGUACUAUUAAUAAGUUGCCAAAUGUGAAGUCAGACUUGGUAAGGACUGACGAAGAUUGGGAAGAAUGGAAAAUGGAGAACUUAGUUGAUAGUCUGCAAAAAUGGUUACGAAGAAACAAAACUGAAGAAGAUAAAUCCACAGCUGACCCAAGAAGAAGAGAGAAAAACUUGUUUGCACGUAAUGGAGGUAAAGAGAACGAAAGAGGAAAAAAGACACCUUGUUGUAUGUUCUGUAAAGCUGAACACUGGAGUGAUAUGUGCAAGUCUUAUGUAACCACAGCUCAAAGAAAGGCUUACUUCGGUGAGAACAAUUUAUGCUUCAAUUGCGGUAGCCCGGGACAUAGGGCUAGACAUUGUCGGAGUCGUGGGUGCUAUCACUGUGGGGAGAAACAUCAUACCAGUUUACAUGAUCAGAAAGAGAACAACGGUGAUGGUACAGUACUAACGGGCUACUCAACAGCAACAGACGAGAUUACAUUACCCCCCAUAAUUCCAGUUAAGGUGGAUGGAGAAGUUUUCUGGGCAUUUUUGGACACAGGAUCGGGCAGGAAUUUUAUUUCAAAGGAAGCAGUAAAGAAACUUCAAGUUUCUGCAGCACGACAUGAAUCGAAAGAAACCAUUACCAUUAAUGGAACAAAGAGACAGUCGAUGCCUAUUUACAAUGUAACAAUCGAAUCAUUAGAUGGAUCAACCAAGGAAGAUAUAGAGCUAGCCGGGUCGACAAUGAAAGAUUUCACAACAGUGAAAAGACCGGACAUGAACAAACUUAAAUGGAAUUAUGAACACACAAAGGAUAAGAGGUUUUACAUGAAAAGAGAUGGUGAAUAUCCAAUACACAUGAUCUUAGGUGACAACACCUUCUGCAAGAUUAAGACAGAGGAAAUCUACAAAGGAAAAGAUGGCGAUCCUAUCGUUGAAGGUACUUCGUUUGGUUGGAUUGUUCAUGGUGGAGAUAUUUCGAACAAUGUGUGUAUGUUUACAAGAGAACCAAAUGACUACGAGCAAUUGUAUACACUGGAUGUAGUUGGAAUUGAAGGUAGAGGGGAGAACGACCAAC
RNAcentral lists this long non-coding RNA (2297 nucleotides) under Paramuricea clavata. The record is from RNAcentral. Lineage: Eukaryota; Metazoa; Cnidaria; Anthozoa; Malacalcyonacea; Plexauridae.